GCUAGGUGAACACUCUGCUUCACUACUAAGCUCAACUUCAGAUAAUAAAGCUAGAGGCAGAGGCUGAGUAGUCAGAGGUGGCAGGUGACCUGGGCCUGGGAAGGCAGCAGCAGCAGCAGCAGCAGCAGCAGCAGCAGCAGCAGCAGCAGCAGCAGCAGCAAGGGAAGCAGAGAGGCUGGAACAGAGUCAGUCAGAAGCCAUCAGGGCUGGGCGUGCCAUCAGUCGGGAGGGCACUGAGAGAUGUGGUUGGUGAGAGGAGGGCCAGAGAGAGUACCAGGCCAGCCCCUAGUUGUUACAAUCAAAAGCCCAAACUUAGUCUGGACCACGUUCUCCUGACCUUUCCUGACCCUGGGCAGGAAGGGAGCACCCGGAUCUCUCGUAGUAAACAUCCUUUUGAGUUUUUGGCCUCUUACCCACCCGGUCUGCUUUUCCUCCAGCUUAGAAACCCACAGAUCUCAACCUGUACUCGCAGCUCUCCUUCUGCCCAAACCUCAGCUCUUCUGGGAGAACUGAUGGCUUCCGGGUGUUAUUGGCAAAUGAAUUUGUACUGAAGUGUGAAUGUCUGAUAGAAAGCCCUAGUGGUCUGGUGAAGCCCAGACGACAAAAGAACGGGGAGAGAAGGAAGGUAAGUGGAGCAGACCUGAGCUAGCCCACAAUUGGCUGGGUAACCUUGGCAUGUUCCUUCCCACUCUGGGCUCUUUCUUUUCCUCUGCAGCAAGGAAGUUGUUCUUCCCAGAUGGACUCAAAGUUCCUAAGGGGUCCAGCUCGCAACAGCCAGAUUGGACCCCAAGUAAUUUUACAGCCCUCCAGAGCUUCUCUGAGAUCCAGACCCACCCUCUAUGGUUGCUGGGAACAGGGGCUACUGUUCCUGAUACAGCUGCUGCCCCUGGACCAUGGCGUCUAUCCCAGUUGCUGCCCUGGUGGGAAGCCGGCAGGGACAUUCAGGACUGUGUGAUUCCUGGCUAUGACACCUGGUACCCGGAUUCAGAUCCUGCCUCUGUGGGAGAGCAUCCUGGUGGCUCUGGCCUGAGGUGAGCUCUAUGCCCUAUGGAUGAACAGGCUUACCUGUGUAUUAUAUCGGACUAGAAACAUGUGAAAGCAAUACAGACAUUUCUCCACUACCCACAAAUGGUGCAUCUCUUCUCCCCGCACCCCAGGACUGGGGACUGGACUCAGGGCCUCCCGCUUGCUAGCCUAGCAUUCAGCCACUGAUAGACAACCCCAGCAAGGUCAACAUCUCUGUGCGGCUGUCUGUCCCACAGGACACAGCUGGUUCUGCACAUGUGCCCUGUGCUACACUGUCUGCGGUCAGGCCUGGUCCCCUGCAGCGAGGCCUUCCCCCUCACCUCCGCACAGAAUGAUGGCGGCAAUGAAAAGGGCCAGAUCACUGUCGUCCAGCUCCAGAGCAUUGAACUUGACAGCAAACUCGAACUUGGGCUCAAUGAUGUCACUGAAGGGCUUGCGGAUACUGCGCAAGAACUCAUGGGUGACGAAGCCACUGCCGUUGGCCACCAGCAGUCCGUCUUUGUUGACAAUGGAGGCCAGCAUGGCAAAGAUGGCCUCAUGCACGCCGUACUUGAGGAGGGUCACCUGGUCGUUGAGGAAGAGGCUGCUGAAGUUGGGGAUGUUCUUGGCGAACUCGGUGAGCUCCCGCACUGUCUCCACGGUGGUGGACUGGCAGCGGUAGAACACAUGCACGCUGAUCUCGUUGUAGGGCGGCGGCCCGUUCACCAGCUGCUUCCACACCAGGCCCUUCUCUGCCUGCCACAGCGUCUCAAUGUCGUGGAUGAUGAAGGGCUGAAAACCAGGCCCAUCAGAGGCCAGGCCUGGGGAAGGGCAGGGGCCCCGCCCUCGUGUCCCCUGAACCCCACCUCAUGGCCGGGCUGGCCAGCGACACUCACUGCGUUAUGGCUGGACUUGCCAGUGAGGAUGCUCCGGGCCUUCUUUUUGGUCAUGUUGAAGUUUUUCAGGUAGGCAUUGUAGAUGUGCUUGGAGAAGGCCUUCAGGUCGGCCAGCUGGGGGUUUUGCUGGCAUCCCUCGCUGGCCGUCAGCCCCGCCACCAGCUUCCUCUUCUCGGCCUCCGGCAUCCUUCCAAAGCGGAUAGCUGCAUAGGGGGUGGGGGCCAGUCAUGGGGGAGCUGCCAGGGGCCAGCACCUCUUCUUCCCCGCUCCUCUCAGGUGUGGGGUGAAGGGGAAUCACUCUUUAGGAGCCUGGCGUCCUCAGAGGCCCCACCUCCCUGAGAGCCUUUGCUGACUGGACUGGGGGCUGGCCAGGCAUGGCAACUAGAAAGGGCCUGUGGUGACCAGGGCCACACCUGAGUCCUGGCUCUUCACCUGUCUGCUAUGUGGCUUUGUUCCUUCACCUUCUCUAUGGGUGCAAGCACUUUCUAGAACAGUCAGGGGCUUUCACCAGAAGCGGUGAGAAGCCAGAGGCAUGGCUGGAGGGCUAAUGUGAGCACCUGAGGCCACAGAACUCAUGUGAAACAGCUGGGGGUGGGGGGAGGCCAACAGAGGUGAACCCCAGGACACACACACACACACACACACACACACACACACACUUACAAUCCAAGUUGUGGAAGUAGGCCGUGGCUUCUGUCAGAGAAAGCAUGAGGAAGGCUCAGUUUGCUUUGAGGCUUCCUAAGGCCCCAGUGACCCCCUGCCUUGGUACAGUGCCAGCAGGUACAGAUGGGCAAACUCACUGGAACCCACACUUAUGGGGAGCCAUAGACGGCCUGAAGAUGCCCAGUGUGUGAGGUCUAGUGGUUAGCCACCAUAGUUUAAGCAGGAGGCUCCCUGUUCUCUGGAAGCCUAAGACAAGGAUGGCGACUGGGAGUCUCUGACUUAGAAAGUUCUACCUGGGUCCUGGCAGCUGCCACAUAGCUACACACUGGCUCCUGCCCACCUCCAACAAUUCAGGACGGGGGAAACCCUGGCCUCAGCUUUGUCUGUUCUGUCAGGCUCAAGUGUGGGGCGCAGCGUUGGCAACCCCACCCUUGACACUCGAAGUACAAGGGGGCGAGCCACAGGCACAGACAGCUAGGACCUGUGAGGUCUGAGGUUAUGUGACCUGGCGUCCGAAGCGAUCAUCGACAGCAAGUGCACACACUCAUCUGUGCCAGGCGCAGGUGCUGGGUGCCCUCCCUCUGAUAGCGGGGCCUGGGUCAGCUGCGCCACGCCAUGCGCCUGCGCCCUCGCCGCAGGCGCCCUCACCGUUGUGGGACAUGCCGAGCGCCAGGCACUUCUGGAAGCGGCAGUACUGACACUUGUUGCGGUUCUUCUUCUGGAUCUUGCAGAUCCGAUCGCACUUCUCGUACUUGAGCUUCAUGCGGAUUGUCCGGCGGAAGAAGCCCUGCGGAAUCAAGGACGUUAUAGGGGCCCAUGCUCCCCUGAGGCCCAGUGGCACGUAAGGACACAAAAGGACCGAAAUCGGGGAGUAAUGGGGAACAUUUUUUUUAAAUACAUGGCUAAUUUUUUACUGA
This is a non-coding RNA of Rattus norvegicus (Norway rat), 3481 nucleotides long. NCBI's taxonomy places the organism in Eukaryota, Metazoa, Chordata, Mammalia, Rodentia, Muridae. The record is from RefSeq and is a predicted model, not a curated record.